CCUACGGGAGGCAGCAGUGGGGAAUAUUGCACAAUGGGGGAAACCCUGAUGCAGCGACGCCGCGUUAGUGCAGCAGUAUUUCGGUAUGUAAAGCUCUAUCAGCAGGGAAGCAAAUGACGGUACCUGACUAAGAAGCCCCGGCUAACUACGUGCCAUCAGCCGCGGUAAUACGUAGGGGGCACGCGUUAUCCGGAUUUACUGGGUGUAAAGGGAGCGUAGGCGGCAAGGUAAGCCAGAGGUAAAAGCCCGCGGCUCAAAUGCGGGACUGAUUUUGGAACGAUCUAGUUAGAUUGCAGGAGAGGUAAGUGGAAUUCCUAGGGUAGCGGUGAAAUGCGUAGAUAUUAGGAGGAACACCAGUGGCGAAGGCGGUUUACUGGACUGUAAAUGACGCUGAGGCUCGAAAGCGUGGGGAGCAAACAGGAUUAGAUACCCGGGUAGUC
RNAcentral lists this ribosomal RNA (440 nucleotides) under uncultured bacterium. Its description in RNAcentral is "partial 16S ribosomal RNA". It matches the Rfam family "Bacterial small subunit ribosomal RNA", at positions 338 to 795 of the family's 1533-position model. The record is from RNAcentral.